This 496-nucleotide ribosomal RNA is filed under the name uncultured bacterium. RNAcentral describes it as "partial 16S ribosomal RNA". It matches the Rfam family "Bacterial small subunit ribosomal RNA", at positions 28 to 506 of the family's 1533-position model. The record is from RNAcentral.
GAUGAACGCUGGCGGCGUGCCUAAUACAUGCAAGUCGAGCGAACGGACGAGAAGCUUGCUUCUCUGAUGUUAGCGGCGGACGGGUGAGUAACACGUGGAUAACCUACCUAUAAGACUGGGAUAACUUCGGGAAACCGGAGCUAAUACCGGAUGAUAUUUUGAACCGCAUGGUUCAAAAGUGAAAGACGGUCUUGCUGUCACUUAUAGAUGGAUCCGCGCUGCAUUAGCUAGUUGGUAAGGUAACGGCUUACCAAGGCAACGAUGCAUAGCCGACCUGAGAGGGUGAUCGGCCACACUGGAACUGAGACACGGUCCAGACUCCUACGGGAGGCAGCAGUAGGGAAUCUUCCGCAAUGGGCGAAAGCCUGACGGAGCAACGCCGCGUGAGUGAUGAAGGUCUUCGGAUCGUAAAACUCUGUUAUUAGGGAAGAACAGAUGUGUAAGUAACUGUGCACAUCUGGACGGUACCUAAUCAGAAAACCACGGCUAACUACGU